UAAUUUAACCAAAUUUUUUCCAUCUCCUCCGGUGGCUACAAGUACAAUGAUCAACUUUGAGUCCUAUGUCUUUAGGACUGUUGGGAGAUCAACUUUGAGGAUCUGAAGCUCGGUGACCUCCUCACCACAUGAUUCGUGUACUCUACCAGCGUAGUGGAGUCGAUCCUCGACUCGUUGCGCAAGGACAGUUACGAAAAACAUGCCUUCGUCGAGCUAGGGUUUGAUUGGAACGAGACCUUCGACUUCAAAGUCGCGUUCACCGAUCACGAGAAGUAUGUCUACCAUGAGCAUGUGAAGGAAUUUGGUGACUCUGCCAUCGCUGAAGAAUAUGAAAUCGACAUUCAUCUUGCCGCCAACGCUUUCAUCAAACGGCAAUGACGGCGUCGAUUGUUCUUUCGCCGCCUUUACCUCCUUCAUCGACAACGAAAUCAGUCUUGGCAACGCGUGGAGCAAAUUCUACUCGACGACAAACAUCCCAAACCCAACAACGGUGCUUCUACCUUCGGCUUCGAUUCUUAUGGUAGUUGAACAAUUUUGACAAGCUUUGGAGAUUUCACCAUAGUGUGUGCCUGCACAAUAUGGACUUGCUUUGGGGCUGCUUGGUUUGGCAAAAAGACUGCAUCAAUCUAGGAGCAUAUAGAUGGGGGGCUUCACUGUUACAGGUUUUUCUCUUCAAUAUUUUGUCUUUAAUAAUUAUUAUGUUGUUUUUUAUUAAGUUUUCAGUGCUUUGGUUGCUUUUAUAAAUUCUUUUAGAAGGCUUCUGAUGCAAAUAUGUUACAGGCUUCUCAAGAGGUUCAAGAUUUAGAUGUAGACAACCUUUUGUUUAUUUCUCAAAUUCUGUGUGGUGGAGACUAAGAGUGUAGUUAUCAAACAUUGUUAUUGCUUAUGCAUUAAUGGCACAUUAAAUAGUAAUCAGAGGAAGAGAAAAAGCAUAAGAAAAUGGAAUAAAGCAAAGGAAGAGUUUGUGUAACAAGAGGAACAAGCUUUAUUGGUUCAUGGAUUAUCAAGAACCUCCUUCAAGAUGGUUACUUUGUUAACACCACUGAGAAACAACUCAGGGACUCAAUCCUUUGAUGUUCAUGUUUGUUGUACUUGGGAAUACCGCUUAUGUAGCCAUGUAUUAACACUGGUAAUACUCCUGCUAAGCUAUUUGUUGUGGAUGAGUUACUUCUUGUGAUAGUAUACAUGAUGGAUAUUAAAUUGGCAGAAAAUUUGCUCUCUGCAGUAUAUCAGUGGCCUUUUUGUUACUAGCAAGAAGAUUACUAAGUAUUUAAAUUUGACAAUGUGAUUAGUCUAAACCUUCUCUGUUAUGCUUCCUCUGUUUGCCACAAAAAGCAAGCAAAUUAAUAGCAAAAAGAUCAUCACAAAUGGACAAUCUUCCUUAUAAAGCAACUUUUAAUUUUAAGUGAGCAGGUAAUUCUGUCAGUCUUCUUAGUGAAGUUUUAUAGGCUUCAUUAGAUAGGAAUGAUGACCAUAAAAGAUGUCCUAAACAUAGUAUGCUGCUUCACUUUGUUUUAGUCAUUCACAAUCCUAAGAGAAAAAGUUCCUUUAAAUCUAGUUUUUAAUAUUUUUCUUGUGCACAGAACAAUUGGUUGAAUCCGUUUUGAGCAAGGUUUUAGAGGAGUUUGACAAAGCAAAGUAACAAGGAGAUUCUUGGACUCAAAUCCAAUGGUGUUUUAGUUGAGGGUCUUCAUUUCAAACCUGCUUUUGCUUCUUCUUUUGUUUUUAUUUUGAGAUUCUGCGAAUUGAUAUAGUAAUCUUCUUAUUAGUUCCAAGGGAUUGUGACACGUACUGACAUUUAAUUAAGUGUUUUUUACUGUGUUAUGCUAGUUUCUGUGAGUUAUUAAUGUUUAUGUUAUGUUAGGCCUAUUUUUGACUUUUAAUUUUUAUUAUUUUGUGUGCAUUUAAUAUUUUGUUUUGCCACCUGGGAAAAAUUUAAAAUAUCUUGCAGCAUCACCCACCUAACAAGCAUUGCAGAAUGAUAAUGGGUUUACAGUGCAGAAAUUUAUGAUGUGCCAAAGAGAUAAAGCACUGAUAUGACCUUCCCACGCAUGGAGUCAAAGAGCAUUUUCUUUUUCUUUUUUCUUUUUUUUUUCUUUGUGGUGGCUGACGACUACGGACACUAGAUCACUUGGUAAAGUUGAUAACACCUAAUGAAAAAAUAAUUGUUGAAAUUUAUGAAAAUUAGUUCUUUAGAAUAUUUUUUCACAUUUUUAAUUACUGCCUUUGUCAUUUGAUCGCUUAUCAUUGAUGAAUAUAACAGGGAAGAAUAAGGAACUCUAUAAAUAUAAUAUAUAUAUAUAUAUAUAUAUAUAUAUAUAUAUAUAUAUAUAUAAAUAUGUACAGCAUAUUAUUCUUUGGUCCUGAAGCUGAAGUUGUCUUGAUAGAUACUCUCCACUCCAUAAUGUCAGGAGACCAUGGGAACAACAUACUGAUCAGUCUAUUCAGUAUCCAUCAACCAUGAUGUUGACAGUUGAUCAUGAUGAUCGUGUUGUGCCACUGCACACAUUGAAGUUAUUAGCGGUAUUUGAAGAUAGAUACUGUAGUUUUUGUGAUCAUGAUAUACCUAUACCCAGGUUACUGAUUGAGGGUUACUAGUGAUUAAAUGGUUCACUCAAAACAUGUUACUACAGUUAGCCACACAAUUGAUGAAUACACUCUUGUUUCAACAAUUCGACCAAAAGGGGCAUUAUUCACCAUGUUGGUUCCUGCCACAGGAUCAAUCUACUGGUCUGAAAGAUAUCCAGCAGAGAUUGGCACCCCAUUACAAUGUCGAACUAUAGGUUUCUGAUCAAGGAAGUGUGCCAACUAAUAUAACAAGUUCUGGACAUGAGGAAAAUCAUAUGUGAUAGUUAACGAAUAUAAUAUAAUGUGGAAGUUAAUUGAAUCAUUUUAUGUUUUGAGAACCAUUGCAGUACUUCAUGAUAGUUUUUGCUGACUAAUAUUGUACUUGAAUUUGAAUUUGAAUUCGUAUAUUUGUUAUACUUUGAUAUACA
Vigna unguiculata (cowpea) is the source of this 2996-nucleotide unclassified non-coding RNA. The record is from RefSeq and is a predicted model, not a curated record. NCBI's taxonomy places the organism in Eukaryota, Viridiplantae, Streptophyta, Magnoliopsida, Fabales, Fabaceae.